CUCAAAACUUCGAUCGUGAUGCAAAAUUCAAGUGCUGGAAGGAUGAUUGUGGACUGCUGUUGCCAAUGGUUACUAAAACUGUUUACAUUACUUGCAAAUGGAUAAUAUAAUAUGAAGAGAAUAAUAUAGUAUAUUAUAUGACUUGAUUAGAACCUGUCAAAAAUUCAGUUUCUUAAAUAGUAAAAAUUACUAUGAAAUACUAGUAAUAUAUUUAUUAAUCUUGGGAUAAUUAAAGAUAUUUUUCUUUUCCUAAUAAAAAAGAAAUAAAGAUCAGAACUCCUCUCCAUCAUUAGGU
This 295-nucleotide long non-coding RNA is filed under the name Centruroides sculpturatus (bark scorpion). RNAcentral's name for it is "uncharacterized LOC111638809, transcript variant X1". Lineage: Eukaryota; Metazoa; Arthropoda; Arachnida; Scorpiones; Buthidae. The record is from RNAcentral.